AAGGAUCAUUACUGGUUUAGAUCAGUCUGUUCUAAUUCAUUAGGCUGGCUGUAUUUCCUUUCUACCCUUAUGUUUUCUUGCUUCUAGUUCCAUUGAUUUGGUUCUAGUUCUUUUUUUUUACUUACCCUCAAUAAAUGCUUUGGCAAAUCUUUGCCUUGCUGGUUUGAUUAUUAUAAUCUUAGAAAAAAACUUUCAACAAUGGAUCUCUUGGUUCUG
This 216-nucleotide unclassified non-coding RNA is filed under the name uncultured fungus. RNAcentral's name for it is "partial contains 18S rRNA, ITS1, 5.8S rRNA, ITS2 and 28S rRNA". The record is from RNAcentral. Lineage: Eukaryota; Fungi.